This is a long non-coding RNA of Syngnathus acus (greater pipefish), 3413 nucleotides long. RefSeq lists it as uncharacterized. The record is from RefSeq and is a predicted model, not a curated record. The transcript has 3 exons. NCBI's taxonomy places the organism in Eukaryota, Metazoa, Chordata, Actinopteri, Syngnathiformes, Syngnathidae.
CAAUAGGUGGUCCGCUACUGUCUUUGAAACGGAAUUAAAUGUCUGUAACGGCAAUUGACAGGCAAAAGGGGGAGGAAAAAAAAUAUUGUGAGGACAUACAAUAUUUUUGAGUCACGCUGGAGCAAUGGAGGAUAAAAUGAUUGCUUUUUUUUUCUAUUCUAUGGGCAGCUCGGACGUUUUAAUGGCAAGCCUGGAGAAGGGACAAUGAGGAAGUCGCCAUAUCUGGUUCAAGAGUACAACUAUGAGGUGGUCCAAUCCUGACAACAUGCGUAAGAGGGACCAACGUACGACAGAAUCUGUAACGACGAGCCCUCGCACAUGCCCGCACGACUCGUCCCACAUCUGGAUUGACAUGGCAAAGCUCUUAAGAUCAAUAAUGGCGACGGAUAUUUGCGGCGGCAUCCUUCAGUGGCUGUCCUAUAAAAGAAAAGAAGCAACAAAGGACACGAUCAAAGAAAUGAAGUUGUUCACACUCCCGAGCGUUUCCACCACAUCUUACGACGUGACUACGUGAGUAUGAAUCUUCACCAAUUAGACUCGUUUUGUUUUUUUUCUCUCACAGAUUUACAUGUGGCAAACUUGAGGAACAUGUGGGCCUCAACAAUACAUCAACCCGCCUCUCUGGUGUGAAGUAUGCCCGUCCGUAGGAGUCCCCCCUCCGUUCCCCUCUGGGCCAUUCUGUACAAACAUUCCAACACUGUGUCUGUAUUCCCAGGGAACCUCGCUCAGAUAAGUCAAGCCUGACAGUGUGAAACAUCAUCCGAGAUGGGCGAGAACACAUGUAGGUCUCCGUGUAGAGGUCCUCAGGGCGGAGUGCUCUCCUUGGAAAGGAUGCAGGAGAGUAAAGAGCGCCUGUGUAUUUUUAAUUUGGAGCAAAACAGUACAUGAAGCAAUAUGACAAGAUUCAAAAAUAGAAUAUAAAAUCAGUAUUGAUCUCUUUCAACUGAUCCAUCAAGAUCCCUCACAACAGUCAAACCCAGACAGGACUGAACAUGUUGAGCAAUUCCAUCCAUUUUUUUUUUUUUUUUAAGUAAAUAUUAACUUCCACAUUGUGCCUUUUAAUGAGCAUCACUCACUUUCGCCCUGAAAAUAAACAAAGCUCUGAAGCGGACAGCCGCCGAGUGCUAAGUGCCACGUAGAUUAAUGAGGUGUGUGUCACACUGCCCCUCUCUUCAUCCCUCUGUUUGUCUGUGUGUGUAUGGGGGGGUCGAGGCAAACUAACAUGCUCAAGUAAACAAAAAGCAGUGAAGACAGCAGGGAGACUCUCACUUUUGCUUCUACUUAGUGUCAACACUCCUUUUAGUGUCUCAUUUAAAUAACUGCAAAAAACAAAAGAACUGCUCUGCAAAGUAAGAGAUGCACUUAAGAUAAUAGAGUCCAUUAUUCAACCUUUAGUUAAGAUAGCGCCUCGCAUCAGGAAGGUGCGUGACCAGUCGGCAGGCAGGCAGACCUGGGGCUCCGGUGGAUAUCAGACAGUGCAUGACAAUGGGUCUGCUCGCCCCGGAGGAGGUCGUUACUAUGGAGUGAAGCGGGACCGACAAGCGGCUGGCACCUGGGAACCAGACAUUCAGGAAGGGGAGGGGGGGGGGGGGGGGGCGCAAGCUUCAUCCAUUACCUCCCCACCUUGAUAUUAGUGGAAGCGAAUGGGGGGGUGAAAAACACACAUUACAUCAUGGAGAGUGCAGCAAAGGAGGGGUGAAAGGUGAAGGAUUCAGGAGUAAAUGAGUCAUGACCAACACUAAAGGGCUUGGACAAGGUUGCUUGAACACACACAAACACACACACACGUGCAAAAUCAUGUUUGCCGUUGUGAAAAUCCUUUCACUUGAUUCUUCGAUUUCCCAGCUAAUCUGCUGAGAUUUUACGCCCCUAAAGGUUGCCAGAGUAGAACAUUUUUAUCCUCGAGGAGACUGGGGGCACUGCAGCAAGGUGGAGAUGAUGGAGUAUAAUUCUGCCGUGUCCAAAGAUGAGCAAGGUUGCGUGUGUGUUUAUAUGAUUUGGGUACAAAUGUUAUCCAAGAGGAGACUGAGGGCAGCUUGAAUAUGGGGCACUGCAGCAAAGUGGAGAUAGUGGAGUGUCCACAGUUUAGGUUAGCGUGUGUGGGAUUAUUUUUUUCUAAUUUCUGCCAAGGAAAAAAAUGAAACGGUGCAGAAAAGUGAGGACUGUGGAGUGUAACGGCACUUUGGUUUUGAGCCAGGACAAAACACCCACACAGAAUCCCGUUUGUGGUUGCGCAAGUCCUCCAACAUUGCAUUUGAUUGUUACAAAUUUCCUUGCUAAUCUGCCGAGAUUUCCCGCACGCCUCGAACACGACACGCCCCUAAUGCUUGCCAGAGGUAAAGAUUUAGUUGCGAAAAAUUUGAAAAAAAUAGUGGCCUUUUAUGUUGCUGUUGCUUUUUGGGAGGCUGCCAACUCUCGUUUGAAAAUACAGUAAUUUGCGAGUGGAAUUUAAACAGGCCAAAUUGCUUCCCCUUCGCUAACAAUGUGGCAAAAGGAGAGUUAGCCAUGUGCGCUUGGUCAGCGUCGCCCGGCUUAACUACGAGUGACACAUUUGGCCUUCAAACGUGCUCUACAAAUUUCGAUCCAAAAGCGGAUUUAGGAAAGCGAGAAAAUGGGGCAGUGCAUCAAAGUGGAGACUGUGGAUUAUAAUACCGGCGGAACAGGACAAGCUAAUGUUAACGUAUGUGCUUAUUUUGAUCAUUCCAUUAUGAGGCUGCACCAGGUAGCUCAUCACGAGGAGGUCAAGCUGCUCGGUCACCAAACUGGGUCAACUUGUCAACUUUUUGUCUUGAGCCUUUUUUUUUUUUUUUUUUAUUACUUUCCAAACACAAUGAAGAAAACCGAAGGAUAUAUGUCGAGACGCUUGGUUGCAUUUUCAACUGCUGUCUAUUGGAGCGGAGACAUCAAGCGCAUUCCAAGAGACCCAGGGCCCAAUUACGGGCAGAUGAAGGGCAAGUUGUCUUUGUCUAAGAACAAAGGCAACAAGUGACAAGGGUGCUCUUUAACGGGAGAGCUCUAUAAGGACAGCAGAGGAGGGGGAGAGAGGUGAGCAGCUGGUUAUAAAUAUCUAUUGGCUCACUUACUGGAAGGAAAAUGGGCACUUUGUUGCUCAUCCACUCAUGCAGGUGCUUGCAAAACAUGACUAACCACUAAUGUUUUACAACAACCUUCCAAUUUCUUAAUUCAAAACCAUUCCAACGUCAAAAUAGGAAGCUCAUUCAGAACGUCUGUGCAACUGUUAAUAAUAAUGAUAAUAAAAAUGCUAGCUCACACAGAAGAUCCCACAAAUGUCCUUGUUUGUUUUUCAAUGAAUACAAAAAUGUUAGAGCCACCUCAAUUUCACAAUUUCUCAACUAAACCUUUUUCAAAACAUUUUCAUCAACAGGAUCAUUAGCAUUUAAAUGUGAAAAAUA